Delphinapterus leucas (beluga whale) is the source of this 595-nucleotide non-coding RNA. The record is from RefSeq and is a predicted model, not a curated record. Lineage: Eukaryota; Metazoa; Chordata; Mammalia; Artiodactyla; Monodontidae.
GUAUGGUGUGCCUCGUUCCAGGACGGCCUUCAGAGGGUUUGUGAGCAGAGGAAGCCUCAGUGGUCUGGCAUCGUGCUAUGACAGUUCCUAUGAUUUCUGCCAAGUGAAGACUAUUGACUUUAUCCCACGUGUGCAGUUGUUCGGACGCUCUUCUGACCCCUAGACAGCGCCUCACCCAAAGCUGAACCUACUACAGGCACAGCCCAGAGAUCACCUACAAGACCCUUUGCUGCCACCUGCUGGAGAACUCUCGGAAUAAAUAUCCACUUUUGCCACCAAUUGUUGGAGGCCGUGAAGCCAUAACUGAGAUGCGUUACAGUGGAAAUGAGAAGCACUCCUCUGAAUCAGGAAGGUGCCGGUGCCUCCUUAGAGCGGGUGUUCUCGCGGUCAGGGAGCCCGUAAGUCUCCCCGCUCCUACUGCCUGGCCUGGACCAAUCGUGAAGAAAGAAAGAGUCGGACCGAGGAGGACCAGACGGCGGGCGUGAAACGAGCACCCAGAUGUAGACCCCGCCACGCCCUGGUUCCCUGGCGGGCCGCGAAGGCUGUCCGAGGGUGGGAAGCGCCGCCGGCCCAGAGAGGGUCAGGGCAAACCCGU